RNAcentral lists this ribosomal RNA (509 nucleotides) under uncultured bacterium. RNAcentral's name for it is "partial 16S ribosomal RNA". It matches the Rfam family "Bacterial small subunit ribosomal RNA", at positions 27 to 507 of the family's 1533-position model. The record is from RNAcentral.
GGACGAACGCUGGCGGCGUGCCUAAGACAUGCAAGUCGAACGCUUCUUUCCUCCCGAGUGCUUGCACUCAAUUGGAAAGAGGAGUGGCGGACGGGUGAGUAACACGUGGGUAACCUACCCAUCAGAGGGGGAUAACACUUGGAAACAGGUGCUAAUACCGCAUAACAGUUUAUGCCGCAUGGCAUAAGAGUGAAAGGCGCUUUCGGGUGUCGCUGAUGGAUGGACCCGCGGUGCAUUAGCUAGUUGGUGAGGUAACGGCUCACCAAGGCCACGAUGCAUAGCCGCCCUGCGAGGGUGGUCGGCCACCCUGGGACUGAGCCACGGCCCAGACGCCUACGGGAGGCAGCAGUCGGGAAUCUUCGACAAAGGACUAAGGUCUGACCGAGCAACGCGGCGUGAAUGAAGAAGGUUUUCGGAUCGUAAACCUCUGUUGUUAGAGAAGAACAAGGACGUUAGUAACUGAACGUCCCCUGACGGUAUCUAACCAGAAAGCCACGGCUAACUACGUG